RNAcentral lists this ribosomal RNA (876 nucleotides) under uncultured eukaryote. RNAcentral describes it as "SSU rRNA". It matches the Rfam family "Eukaryotic small subunit ribosomal RNA", at positions 636 to 1469 of the family's 1831-position model. The record is from RNAcentral.
CGGUGUUCAACUGGCGUGUCCGCGGGACGUCCUGCCGGUGGGCUUAGCCCGCAAGGGCGGCCCAACUUCAAAUCCCAUCGCGGUGCUCUUCACUGAGUGUCGAGGUGGGCCGGCACGUUUACUUUGAACAAAUUAGAGUGCUUAAAGCAGGCUAAAACUUCGCCUGAAUACUGUGUGCAUGGAAUAAUGGAAUAGGACCUCGGUUCUAUUUUGUUGGUUUUCGGAACCCCGAGGUAAUGAUUAAUAGGAACGGAUGGGGGCAUUCGUAUUGCGACGUUAGAGGUGAAAUUCUUGGAUCGUCGCAAGACGGACAGAAGCGAAAGCAUUUGCCAAAAACGCUUUCAUUGAUCAAGAACGAAAGUUAGAGGUUCGAAGGCGAUCAGAUACCGCCCUAGUUCUAACCAUAAACGAUGCCAGCUAGCGAUCCGUCGACGUUCCUCCGAUGACUCGACGGGCAGCUUCCGGGAAACCAAAGCUUUUGGGUUCCGGGGGAAGUAUGGUUGCAAAGCUGAAACUUAAAGGAAUUGACGGAAGGGCACCACCAGGAGUGGAGCCUGCGGCUUAAUUUGACUCAACACGGGAAACCUCACCAGGCCCGGACACCGGAAGGAUUGACAGAUUGAGAGCUCUUUCUUGAUUCGGUGGGUGGUGGUGCAUGGCCGUUCUUAGUUGGUGGAGCGAUUUGUCUGGUUAAUUCCGAUAACGAACGAGACUCUAGCCUGCUAACUAGGCGUAUUUUCGACAUCUCAAAGGUCCGUCGUCCCGGCCCUCGGGUCGUGGGCGUGCGCGAUUUUUACUGUCGGCGUACUAUCAAUUCUUCUAGAGGGACAGGUGGCUUCUAGCCGCACGAGAUUGAGCAAUAACAGGUCUGUGAUG